CUCUUCUCUGUCGUCCCGCCACUCACAGCUCUCCCCGCACCGUGUUUACACCUCUUUCGCUCCAACAAACCGCCCCUUUAAGGAUGUCCUCUGAUUCCGCCGUUGCUGCCCUUUCCGCUGCCAUGACCUCGCCGCAGAAGUCUCCUCGCUCGUCGCCGAAGAAGACGGCUGCGAAGAAGGCCGCGGCGAAGAAGGCCGGAGCGAAGAAGGCCGGGGCGAAGAAGGCCGGAGCAAAGAAGGCGGUGAGGAAGGUGGCUACGCCGAAGAAGCCGGCGAAGAAGGCUGCGAAGAAGGCCGCGAAAAAGCCGGCGAAGAAGGUCGCGAAGAAGCCGGCGAAGAAGGCUGCGAAGAAGCCGGCGAAGAAGGCCGCGAAGAAGGCCGCGAAGAAGGCCGCGGCGAAGAAGUAAAGCGCGCCAUCAUGCUUGCCCGUGGCUGACUGUACGCUCUUCUGAGGCACACGUGCCCGAAGGCGCAUCAUAGAUCCAUCUCUUUGUUUUUCUUUUUGAGUUUUUUUUUUCCGGGCUCUCUCGUUUUUUUUGGUUACGCUCUUAGGUUCCCCUCCUCCUUGGUGGUGCGUGUGUCUCAUCCUCUUCCGUUGAUGGGCUUGCUGCAUCGCCAGCAGCACACG
Molecule: unclassified non-coding RNA, 628 nt
Filed under: Leishmania donovani
Lineage: Eukaryota; Euglenozoa; Kinetoplastea; Trypanosomatida; Trypanosomatidae
Description: gene:unknown
Source: RNAcentral